AGUGAACGCUGGCGGUAGGCCUAACACAUGCAAGUCGAACGGCAGCACAGUAAGAGCUUGCUCUUACGGGUGGCGAGUGGCGGACGGGUGAGGAAUACAUCGGAAUCUACUUUUUCGUGGGGGAUAACGUAGGGAAACUUACGCUCAUACCGCAUACGACCUACGGGUGAAAGCAGGGGAUCUUCGGACCUUGCGCGAUUGAAUGAGCCGAUGUCGGAUUAGCUAGUUGGCGGGGUAAAGGCCCACCAAGGCGGCGAUCCGUAGCUGGUCUGAGAGGAUGAUCAGCCACACUAGAACGUGGACACGGUCCAGACUCCUGCGGGAGGCAGCAGUGGGGAAUAUUGGGCAAUAGUGGCGAGCCUGAUCCAGCCAGACCGCGUGGGUGAAGAAAGCCUUCGGGUUGUAAAGCCCGUUUGUUGGUAAAGAAAAGCAUCAGGUUAAUACCCCGCUGUUCUGACGGUACCCAAAGAAGAAGCACCGGCUAACUUCGUG
RNAcentral lists this ribosomal RNA (492 nucleotides) under uncultured bacterium. Its description in RNAcentral is "partial 16S ribosomal RNA". It matches the Rfam family "Bacterial small subunit ribosomal RNA", at positions 29 to 507 of the family's 1533-position model. The record is from RNAcentral.